CCAUCCUCCAGAUCAUUAAGGAACAUGUUGAAUAGGAUCAGAUGCAGUCCUGACCCCCAGGGUACACAACUAUUCACUGGACUUUGUGCCACUGAUCCCCAUCCAGCCGCUGCUCAGUCCAGCUCCCUGUCUGCUCAUCCAGCCCGUACUUCAUCAACUGCUCUGUGAGGAUCUUGUGGGAGACGGUGUCGAAAGUCUUCCUCAAUUCCAGAGAACUGUAUAUACUCUUCUAUCAAAUUUCACACCAUGUGAAAAAUCAAGUCUUUCAGUACAUUGAAAGCUCACAGUGCCAAUGGGUACAGCCGUGCUGCAGUCAGACUGCCUUGGACCCCACUGCAACCUGAAAGGGGCACCAAGGACUGACAUUUCAGUCUAAGAGGUGACACCUGUGACAGCAUUUUGGAACCUGGUUGUUCUGAUGAAGUGACUGUGUUCACCAAUACUGGACACAACCUGGAGCACAUAGAAACAAACAGUUGGCAGGAUACUCUUGUUGACUGAAGACUUAAGUGAAAGAUAUAACAAUGGGAGAAAAAGAAAGCUUCUACAUCAGGAAGCAUUAAGGUUGGUGGUGAAGCAUACAAAAGCAGGAUCAAGGAGAAACCACCCAUGGCUCACACCCUCACUUCCAAAGCGGCAUAUUCACUCCUGGUAUGGACCAGGUCUUCUUUGGAAGUACCUGGAUUAGGUACUGCUUAUCUUUAGGCAACUAAACCCUGCUUUUAGUGAUCCCAUAUGAAAAAUGUUGAGCCAUUUGCUCAGGACCAAAUGGGAACCCCAACAAUCUUGGGCUAAGAUCAUACAAUGUUACCGUCCCUCUGGGAAUGUCUGGUGUAUUCACUACAUGGGCCCUAUGACAAUGUAAGGCCUUCUUGGAAAUAAUACAUUGUUUUGAUUCAACCCCAGAUAAGGACCAUCCUUUCCACUGAAUAAUAUAGAAUAAUUGAGGAGGAAAAGUAACAAAUUCUAUUAAGAUUAUUGUAUAUUAUCACAAUUGGCUUUUAACAGCUUUUUAAUGCUUAAUUUCUUUAGUUUUUACAAUCUGAAUUUCCAUUAUAUAAAUUUCCACAUGGUUUAUGAGCAACUGGGGACCUCAA
Molecule: long non-coding RNA, 1097 nt
Organism: Calidris pugnax (ruff)
Lineage: Eukaryota; Metazoa; Chordata; Aves; Charadriiformes; Scolopacidae
Exons: 4
Source: RefSeq, a predicted model, not a curated record